CCCUUAGAUGUCCUGGGCCGCACGCGCGUUACACUGAUGCAUUCAACGAGCUUAUAACCUUGGCCGAGAGGCCUGGGCAAUCUUGUUAACGUGCAUCGUGAUAGGGAUAGAUUAUUGAAAUUAUUAAUCUUGAACGAGGAAUUCCUAGUAAACGCAGAUCAUCAAUCUGCAUUGAUUACGUCCCUGCCCUUUGUACACACCGCCCGUCGCACCUACCGAUUGAGUGGUCCGGUGAGGCUUUGGGAUCUGGAUGGAAAGAGCGUUUCGCUGUUUCUGCCCGGAAAACUCAGUCGAACCUUAUCAUUUAGAGGAAGGAGAAGUCGUAACA
RNAcentral lists this ribosomal RNA (328 nucleotides) under uncultured eukaryote. RNAcentral's name for it is "partial 18S ribosomal RNA". It matches the Rfam family "Eukaryotic small subunit ribosomal RNA", at positions 1470 to 1796 of the family's 1831-position model. The record is from RNAcentral.